Molecule: long non-coding RNA, 4862 nt
Filed under: Homo sapiens (human)
Lineage: Eukaryota; Metazoa; Chordata; Mammalia; Primates; Hominidae
Description: HSALNT0341003
Source: RNAcentral
AAACAUCAAUUUGAAAGAAAACAUGUAUUUAUUUACUUCCUCUACAGUUUUCCUGACUGCUACAUUUCAUAAGAAGGGAUUGUUUAUGAGGGUCAAGGAGCUGGAGGCCUGGGGAGGAGCUGGUGUUUUUGUUCAAGUCUGAGGGUCCUGGAGCUGGAGCCCAGGGGAGGAGCCGGUGCUACCACUGAUGUCUUAGGGUCGUGGAGCUGAAGAUCCAAGAGGAGCUGGUGCUGCUAUUCUAGCUUGAGUCUCAUGGAGCUGGAGACCCAGGGAGAAGAUGGUGCUGCUGUUCUAAUUUAAGGAUCGUGAAACAGAAGACCCAGAAAGGAGCUGGUGUUGUCGCUGCUCAAAUCUGAGGGUGUUGGAGCUGGAGCCUGGGGGUGGAGCUGGUGCUGCCUUUGAAGUCUGAGAGUCAUUGAGCUGGAGGUCCAGGAAGGAGCUGGUGCUGCUGUUCUAGGGUGAGGGUGGUGGAGCUGCAGACCCAGGGAGGAGAGGUCUUGUUCUAGUUUCAGGGUUGUGGAGCUGCAGACCCAUGGAGGAGCAAUGCUGUUGUAGUUCGAGGGUCAGGAAGCUGGCGACUCAGGGAGGAGAGUUCUUGUUCUAGUUCGAGGGUCAUCGAGCUACAGGCCCAGGCAGGUGCAAUGUUGUUGUAAUUCAAGGGUCAGGAAGCUGGCGACCCAGGGAGGAGAGGUCUUGUUGUUAUUUGAGGGUCAUGGAGCUGCAGACCCAGGCAGGAGCAAUGUUGUUGUAAUUUGAGGGUCCAGAAGCUGACGACGCAGGGAGGAGAGGUCUUGUUUGAGAUUGAGGGUCGUGGAGCUGCAGACCCAGGCAGGAGCAAUGUUGUUUUAGUUUGAGGGUCCGGAAGCUGGCAAACCAGGGAAAAGAGGUCUUGUUCUAGCUAAGGGUCGUCGAGCUACAGAUCCAGGGAGGAGCAGUGUUGUAGUUCGAGUCCGGAAGCUGGCGACCCAGGGAGGAGAGGUCUUGUUCGAGUUUGAGGAUCAUGGAGCCGCAGACCCAGGGAGGAACAAUGUUGUUGUAGUUCGAGGGUCCUGGAGCUGCAGACCCAGGGAGGAGCCAUGUUGUUUUGAGUGUCAUGGAGCUGGAGAUCCAUGGAGGAGUUGGUGCUGCCUUUCAAGUCUGGGAGUCAUUGAGCUGGAGAUCCAGGGAGGAACAAGUGUUGCUGUUCUAGUCUGAGGGUAGUGAAGCUGGAGACCCAAGGAAGAGCCGGUGCUGCUGUUCAUGCCUGAGUGUUGUGGAACUGAAGAACCAGAGAGGAGGCGGUGCUGCUGUUCUAGUUUAAGGGUAGUGGCGCUGGAGAUCCUGGGGAGAGCCGGUGCCGUCGUUUAAAUCUGUGGGUCCUGGAGCUGGAGCCCUAGGCAGGAGCUGGUGUUGUUGUUGUUGAAAUCCGAGGUCAUGGGGCUUGAGGUACAGGGAGGAUCCGCUGCUGCUGUUCAAGUCUGAGGGUCGUGUAGCUAGAGAGCGGGGAGGAGGUAGUCUUGGUGUCUAGUGUGAGGGUGGUGGAGCUGUACACCUGGGGAGGAGCUGGUACUGCUGUGUAGUUUGAGGGUCAUGGAACUGGAGACCUAGGGAGGAGCCAGUGCUACUGCCAUUUAAGUCAGAAGGUUGUGGAUCUGGAGUUUUGGGGAACAGCCCGUGCUGCUGUUUAACUGUGGGGAGGUUCCUGUGUGUCAGUUGAAGUUUGAUGGUUUGGGAGCUGGAGACCCAGGGAGGAGCCAGUGCUGCUGUUCUAGUUUGAGGGUAGUGGAGCUGGAGAUCCCGGGAAGAGCUGGUGCUGUCCUUUAAAUCUGUGGGUCCUGGAGCUGGAAAACUGGUGGGGAGCUAGUUCUGCCAUUCAUGUCUUAGGGUCGUGGAGCUGGAAAUCCAGGGAGGCAGUGGUGCUGCUGUUCUAGUUUAAGGAUCAUGAAGCUGGAGACCUGGAUAGCAGAUGGUGCUACCAUUAUUCAAAUCUGAGGGUCAUGGAGCCGGAGCCUUGGGGAGUUGCCGGUGCCGCCUCUCAAGUCUGAGAGUUGUUGAGCUGGAGAUGCAGGGAGGAGCCCGUGUUGCUGUUGUAGUUUGAGGGUCAUGGAGCUGGAGACUCAGAGAGGAGGGGUGCUGUUCUAAUCUGAGGGGUGUGAAUCUGGAGACCCAGGGAGGAGCUGGUGCUGCUGUUGCUUAAGGCUGAGGGUUGUGGAGCUGGAGACCUGGGGGUGGCUGGUGUUGCUGUUGUUCAAGUCAGAGGGUCAUGGGGCUUGAGGUACAGGGAAGAGCUCGUGCUGCGGUUGCAGGUUGAGGGUCAUGGAGCUGGAAAUCUAGGGAGGAGCCACUGCUGCUGUUCAAGUCUGAGGGUCGUGUAGCUGGAGAGCGGGGAGGAGGUAGUGUUGGUGUCUAGUGUGAGGGUGGUGGAGCAGUAGACCUGGGGAAGAGCCGGUGCUGUGUAGUUUGAGGGUCAUGGAACUGGAGACCUAGGGAGCAGCCAGUGCUACCACCAUUUAAGUCAGAGGGUCAUGGAUCUGGAGCUUUGGGUAACAGCCCAUGCUGCUGUUUAACCUUGGAGGGAUCCGGUGUGUCAGUUGAAGUUUGAGGGUUUGGGAGCUGGAGACCCAGGGAGGAGCUGAUGAUGCCAUUCUAUUUUGAGGGUCGUGGAUCUGGAGACCUUGGGAGAGGCUGGUACUGCUGUUGAAGUUUGACGGUCGUGGAACCGGAGACAGGGGAAGGAGCCGGUGCUGCUGCUGUUCAUGUCUGAGGGUUGUAGAGCUGGAGACCCAGGGAGAAGUCCAUACUACGGCUUUUUAAGUCUGAGGGUCAUGGAGCCUGAGACCUGGGGAGGGGCCAGUGCUGCUGUUCAAAUGACUCCUUCCUGGGUCUCCAGCUCCAUGACCUUCAAACUAGGACAGCAGCAGCAGAUCCUUCCGGGGUCUUCCAGCUCCAUGACCUUCACACUAGAACAGCAGCACCGGCUCCACCCUGGGUCUCCAGAUCCACGACCCUCAAACUAGAACAGCAGCACUGACUCCUCCCUGGGUCUCCAGCUCUACAACCCUCAGACUCGAGGAGCUGGAGACCUGGGGAAGAGCCAGGGCUGCUUUUCUACUUUGAGGGUUGUGGAGCUGGAGACCCAGGGUGCAGCAGCUGCUGCUAUUAUAGUUUGAGGGCCUUGGAGCCAGAAACUUUGUGAGGAGCCGGUGCUGCGUUUCAAAUCUGAGAGUCAUUGAGCUGGAGACCCAGGGAGGAACCGGUGUUGCUGUUCUAGCCUGAGGGUAGUGAAGCUGGAGACCCAAGGAGGAGCCGAUGCUGCUGUUCUAGUUUGAGGUUAGUGGAGCUGGAGGUCACAGGAAGAGCCGGUGCUGCUGUUUAAAUCUGUGGGUCCUCGAGCUGGAGCCCUGUGGGGGAGCUGGUGUUGCUGUUGUUCAAGUCUGAGCAUAAUGGGGCUUUAGGUACAGGGAGGAGCCGCUGCUGUUCAAGUCUGAGGGUCAUGUAGCUGGAGAGUGGGGAGGAGGUAGUCUUGGUGUCUAGUGUGAGGGUGGUGGAGCUGUAGACCUGGGGAGGAGCCGGUGCUGCUGUGUAGUUUGAGGGUCAUGGAACUGCAGACCUAGGAAGGAGCCGGUGCUACCGCCAUUUAAGUCAGAGGGUCAUGGAUCUGGAGCUUUGGGGAACAGCCCGUGCUGCUGUUUAACUGUGGGGAGGAUCUGGUGUGUCAAUUGAAGUUUGAGGGUUUGGGAGCUGGAGACCCAGGGAGGAGCCGGUGAUGCCAUUCUAUUUUGAGGGUCGUGGAUCUGGAGACCUGGGGAGAGGCUGGUACUGUUGUUGUAGUUUGAGGGUCGUGGAAGUGGAGACAGGGCGAGGAGCCGGUGCUGCUGCUGUUCAUGUCUGAGGGUUGUAGAGCUGGAGCCCCAGGGAGAAGUCCAUACUAUGGCUUUUUAAGUCUGAGGGUCAUGGAGCCUGAGACCUGGGGAGGAGCUGGUGCUGGUGUAUAGUUUGAGGGUCGUGGAACUGGAGACCUAGGGAGGAGCCGGUGCUACCGCCACUUAAGUCAGAGGUUCGUGGAUCUGGAGCUUUGGGGAAGAGCCCGUGCUGCUAUUUAGCUGUGGGGAGGAUCUGGUGUGUCAAUUGAAGUUUGAGGGUUUGGGAGCUGGAGAUCCAGGAGGGAGCCUAUGAUGCCAUUCUAUUUUGAGGGUCAUGUAUGUGGAGACCUGGGGAGAGGCCGGUACUGCUGUUGUAGUUUGAGGGUUGUGGAAGUGGAGACAAAGGUAGGAGGCGGUGCUGCUGCUGUUCAUUUCUGAGGAUUGUAGAGCUGGAGGUCCACGGAGGAACCAGUGUUGCUGUUCUAGUCUGAGGGUAGUGAAGCUGGAGACCCAAGGAGGAGCUGGUACUAUUGUUCAUGUGUGAGGAUUGUGGAGCUGGAGAACCAGAGAGGAGCCGGUGCUGCUGAUCUAGUUUGAGGGCCGUGGAGCUGGAGAUCCCGGGAAGAGCCAGUGCUGCCGUUCAAAUCUGUGGGUCUUGGAGUUGGAGUGCUGGGGUGACCCGGUUCUUUCAUUCAUGUCUUAGAGUCAUGGAGCUGGAAACCCAGGGAGGCGGCGGUGCUGCUGUUCUAGUUUAAGGAUAGUGAAGCUGGAGACCUGGACAGGAGCUGGUGCUACCACUGUUCAAAUCUGAGGGUCAUGGAGCUGGAGCCUUGGGGAGGUGCCGGUGCUGCCUCUCAAGUCUGUGAGUUGUUGAGCUGGAGAUUCAGGGAGGAGCCAGUGUUGCUGUUGUUGUUGGAGGAUUGUGGAGCUGGAGGCUGAAGAGGAGCUGGUGUUGCAGUUCAAGUUUGAUGGUCCUGGAGCCUUGGUUGGGAGCCAGUGCCACCUCCCAAGUCUGAGAGU